UGCGGACCACAAAAUCCUGCAUUCGUAGGAAUUUCUCACAAAUGAUUACUUUCAGCCACCACGUUAAUUCCUACACAAACUUUCAUGUAGAUGACAAUAACUUCCGGCACGUAAAUGAAACAAUCUUUUGCAUCUUAUGACAAAUUCAUUUCAUUCCCUGAACAUUCUAAAUUAUGCAAAAUGAAAUUUUUUGUUCUUGGUGGUGGAAUGUGUCUCGCACAUCUUCCUUCAACAUCAAAAUGUUCAAAUUAUUACGGAUUCCAUCGGAAUUUUUGCUUAAAAAGCAGGUCUCAUGGAGAUCAAAAUGGAUAAAAUUAUGCUUUGGUUCUAUAUAGUGAACAAAAUCAAUUCAAGUCAACAAAAUAAUAGCACCUAAUCAGAAUUGUUGUUAACCUCUAAUAUUCAGAGUAGGGAGAAACUGCCACCUGACCUCAUCUUCAAAUUCUUUUUUCUUUUUUGGGUAGUGGUGGUAGGGGAAAGGGGCAGGAGAAGGGGGUUGGACAAGUAACAUGCCCUCCUAUUGUGUUGAAAUAAGAACGUGAAGAAAGGCAGGGAGAAAACUGACCUGAACAGGAAGGUUGUGCUUUG
This 588-nucleotide unclassified non-coding RNA is filed under the name Hevea brasiliensis (rubber tree). The record is from RNAcentral. Lineage: Eukaryota; Viridiplantae; Streptophyta; Magnoliopsida; Malpighiales; Euphorbiaceae.